GGGCCAGACCGGCCUUGCGCGGUGUAGUGCUGAGCGGCGGCCCCUGCGGUACCUACACUGUCAGGUUCUUGCUGCUCCUUCUCAUGGCGGCGGCGGCGCUGCGGGCGAGGCCUCGGCCGACACGGGCGGCGUACCGGGCAAGCGGCUCAAGAUGCAGUACGCCACGGGGCCGCUGCUCAAGUUCCAAAUCUGCAUGAGGAUGAACCACCUCAGAAUAUGAAACCGCCAUUAUCUAAGACAGCUCUGAAAAAUCAAAGAAAACAUGAAGCCAAGAAAGCUGCCAAGCAGGAAGCCAGAAACGAAGGCAGUCAGGAUUUGGCCCUUAAUCCAGCUCCACAGCAGAACCCCCCACGGAAUGUCUCUCUGCCAACAUCGGGAGACCCUGAGGUAGACAAAAAAAUCAAGAACCUGAGAAAGACUUCUCUCUGGGUAUAGAUGGCUCUCUUCUUCACAAGAUCAUUGGAACUGGCCUUAGUCAUCUCACUGUUGAAAAGUCACGUCUGUCAGAAUCGGUCCUCAUAUAAUCUUCUUGUUGCCAUGUACAAUAAUCUGGUUCUCCUCAUUUCACAUCUGUUCAUAAAGUGAACAAUUGAAAGAAUAAGCAGCUCGUGGUAAACAGCUUGAGAAAAAUCAGAUGGAGAAGAUCCAGAAAGAAAGUGCCCUCCUACAGGAGCUGGAAGACUUGGAGUUGGGUGUUUGAAGUGUGGAAAAUCAGUUACCUGAAAUCAGUGCAAAUACAUUCUCUGUAUUAAACUUAGUAGAAUAAUUAAAUUUUUUUGUUUCAAA
Molecule: long non-coding RNA, 786 nt
Organism: Antechinus flavipes (yellow-footed antechinus)
Lineage: Eukaryota; Metazoa; Chordata; Mammalia; Dasyuromorphia; Dasyuridae
Exons: 6
Source: RefSeq, a predicted model, not a curated record